AUCGGGAUGACGUUGGAAAUUCGCACACUUUCUGACCACGACGUAUUACCGCCGUAGUUGCUGAGG
Molecule: small nucleolar RNA, 66 nt
Filed under: Euglena gracilis
Lineage: Eukaryota; Euglenozoa; Euglenophyceae; Euglenales; Euglenaceae
Description: Eg-m19.1
Source: RNAcentral